Oryctolagus cuniculus (rabbit) is the source of this 4202-nucleotide non-coding RNA. Lineage: Eukaryota; Metazoa; Chordata; Mammalia; Lagomorpha; Leporidae. The record is from RefSeq and is a predicted model, not a curated record.
GUCUGUGGGUCUGUUCUGGACCACAGGCCUCCUACUCCGCCCCAAGUCAGCCCCUCUUCCCCAGGGUCCUGCGGGUGGCCCCAGCACUGUGGACUUUUAGUUAGUAGGAAGAUGAACGCGCCUGUCAUCUCAAUGGAAUUUCACAAGCAAAGAGAAUAGCCAUGGCGGUCCUUGGCCUCCUGGGGACCCAGGGCUGCGUGGCCCCAGGGCUGGCAGCGGGCAGGGAGGAUGACUUUGCAGCCUGGGGACUGUUCGUCAUUAGAACAACAAGGCCGGCAGCAGCGUGGCUCUGCCUUAUCGAGCAGGAGGCGGGCUGGACUGUAUUAAUUGCCCGAUGCUGUUGGGUUUGGCAGUACAGGAAGCAGUUUACAUGGCUACACAGCGCCCUGGCUCGCAGUCGCUGCGACAUGGUAUUAUUGUAGUGGGAUAAUUGUGAUUAGGGACAGUUCCCCGAGGAAGGACAGGCCUUUGAUGAUUGAGUCACUUCCUCCCCACUCCACUUCAGCGCGAUAGCGGGGCUCGACCCACAGACGCACGCACCCUUUGCUGGCCAGAGAAUUCCGAGUUCCCCAGCUACGCUCCCCAGCAGGGGCACCAUCAGACAGGACCACCGGAGAUGUGGAAGCAGGCCAGAGCCCCCCUCCCCGCCGCAUCAUUUUGGUGAAAGAGGAAAAGGGUGAGAUGAGAGAACUUAAACAGAAUGAGAAUGGCUACGUGUGGAAGUAGUAGCCUACUGGUCAACAUGCCCGUGUCCCACACUGGAGAAUCUGCGUUCAGUUCCUGGCCAAGGCUCCUGCCGUCAGCUUCCUACGAGUGCAGAUCCUGGGAGGCAGCGGUGAUAACACAAGCAACGGGAUUCCUGCAUCCACGUGGGAGCCCUGACGGGAACUUCCUGGGAUCCCUCCUUCCAAGGAAGAGGUCGAACACCUUGGUUUCCAAACAAUCUUUCAGUGCUGGUUUUCUUGAGUACCAUGUUUUUUUUUGUUUUGUUUUUGUUUUUUUUUUUUUUUUUGGUUCUGGGACUUCUCUGCCAUUGAUACUUCUAGAAGAUAGAUGUUAAUAACAUUAGUAAUCACAACAGUCAGCAUUUGGAUGCCAAUCAUGAAUCAGAUAAGACAAAGCAUCUUUUAAGCUUUAAUUUGCUUGAUUCACACAACCAUCUUUAUGAGGCAGUUCUAUGACAUAUUAUCUGCUUUUUACACAUGAAAAGAUAGGCUCAUACAGGGUAUAUCACUUGGUCAAGGUCACAGGGCUGGUAUGUACUAAAGCUGGGUUUCAAGCCCAAGCAGUCUGGCUCCAGAGUCCAACAGGCAGGAGAAAGUAGCAGACAGGGCACAAUUCAAGUGCAGCUCUGUUCAGAAGGCUAUAUCCACUUUGUACACUGAAUUCUGCAGUUGCUGACAAAGUUCCAGGUCUGGGGACUCGGGAGGGAGACCCCAGUACUUCUCCCAAGGCAGAGGGAAUCAUUCCAGGCCCCUGUGGUGGAGAACAGAAGGGACUGGCGUGGAGUGCUCCUGUUAGGCUGGGCAGACAGCAGACGGAGGCUCAGCUGGCAUGCACCUGCUUGGUCCUGUGGGCCCUUCCCAGCUGUGACAGUUUUGAUUAGUCCCAUGCCUCUGGCGCACCAGUUGCCAAGUAUCUUUUGGACAGAGGGAAGGAUGGCUGCUUUGUAAGGAUUUAGAAGUUGGAUGAUCUCAUCAGAGGAGGUGAGAAGGAUCUCAGAAAAUAAUACAGAGCUCUCCGAGGUGGCCGGAUGGCCAGGCCAUGUGCUUGAUGGCUCUUCACAGGCCUGCACAGGCUCCAGGAUCUCAGAAAUACUCAGAAAUAUUGCUGGGUUGGCCCCUCUCAUUUGGAAAAAAAAAAAAAAAAAUCACUCCUGGCCGCCGGAAGUGUGCUGUAGUAGACACACCUCCACCUCACCGGAAGUUCUCCAAGAACCUCCCACCUUGAUAUUCUUUGGGGAAACAGCCCUCCCUCCUCUCCACUUGCCUUUUUGGUGGGACUGUCUUUCAGGGGCCCAUUCUCCCAGCCCCAGGAGUGGGAUCAGGGAGGCUGCUCACACGCCUGCUGAGAGUAUGAACCUUGAGUCAAAAGACACAAAGAUAGAAAAAGUACGGAUGAACAAGCAAGCCUAGGACUGGUAUCCUGCGAUGCAGCCAGUUAGCCCUUUUCCUUCAACUGCAUCCCAUAGCGUGAUAUUACUUUCAUUUCCUCAAGUUAUCUGGAGUCCAUGUCUGCAGCCUGUAACCAAAACACCAACAACAAGCCCUAACUCCCAGGGUUCACUCUCUAAGGCCAGUGCUUUACAAGCCUUUCGGCCCAAAGGACAGACCUGUCUCUCCUAGCCCGCCUCCCCCAACCCCAGGACCUGCGUCCUCUCUCUCGUGCUUCCUUCCGGAGCUUUCAGGGCUAGGGUGGGAAAGGGCUCUUGUCAAUGUGCGCGGCUUUACCUUGAGGGAUGAGUGAAGACACCCUUUAAAUUACCUAUAAAACCCUUUGAUUCCCUCAGCAGAGGUUGCCAUGGGCAAUUUGCUAAGCUUAUUGAUUAUUUUCUGUUUAAAUUAAAGUUUGAUGUCCUGGAACCGGCUGUGCGGCGCAUGGAGUUAAUGGAAAAGGUUGCGAUCCAGGGGGAGAGCCACUCAGUGGGGAAAUGGAGGGUAUUCAAGGGGAAAACAGGGAGUCUAGAAAGAGAAGAUUGUCAGCGCCAAGUUGUAGCAAACAUGAUGGUGAGAAGAAAAAAGAAGGGAAUUAUUUUAUGGAGAAGGGCAGUUUCCUGGGCAUUUAAGGCUUCAGGGAGGUAGUGGAAAAAAUGUAUUCACUCCACAAAUAUUUGCCGAGUUCUUGCCAUGUGUCUGGGAGAAAACAGGGACGCUGUGCGCCCAGUCAGGGAUUCUCAGAGUGUGGUUCCUGCUGUCGCUGCGUCCCCACCGCCUGAUGCAGGACCCCAGUUUCUGUUUACUGUAACAGAAUGCCCAAGGCCGGAGACUUUGCAAAGAAAAGAGGGGCUUUCAGCUCACAGCUCUGAGUCGCAAGGGCACGGUGCUGGCAUCAGCUAGGAGCUGGGGAGGGCCUCCUCCUGGUGGAUGGAUCCCAACGGUGGGAGUGCGUGCAGGCGGAAGUGAUCGCAGGUGGAAGCCUGCAGAGAGCAAUUCAGGGCUCGGGCUAGGCUUUUAUUACAACUGCAUUUAUGCAGAACUAACUCAGGGAUCCUACGAGAAAUAUCUUAAUCCCUCUGAGGCUGGUACCCUCAGUGAUCUCCCACUGGGCUCCACCUCUUAAAAGUCUCACCACCUCUACACCCCCACACCGAGGACCAAGUCUCCAGCACAUGGACCUUUUGCCAGGCGGGAGCGGGGGCAGGGGGCGGGGGGUGGGGGGCGUGGCAAACCGCAGCGCCCGGGAACAAGUCAGACACGCAUGCUCAGGCCUCACCCAGACACGCUGAAACGCUGAGGGCCCGUGGGGACAGCCCCUCCCAGGUGAAGCGGGUGCACCCUGCAAGGUGAGCUCCUCUGUUCUGGAUCCUUCUGAGGAAGGGACGUCCGGCUUCUGCACGCCAGGAGCUCCCUACGAGUCAGUCUUCUGUGGCCAGCAUCUGUUGAGAAUUUCUCACUGCAGGCCGUACGCUAAGCGCAGGGUGCAGAUGACCUCACUGUAUCCUUACAACAGCCCUGCACUUAGAAGACAGCAUGGGGGUGGGGGUGCACUGGAAGCAAGAAGGGCAGGGAGAAUUCAAGUGCAAGAGCCUCGCCACUCCGCUCAGCUGUCUCCCCAACACCAGCUCCCCCAAGCUCUGGGAUCCGCCCUGCCCUGGGCAAAGCUGAUCUGCUGUUAGAUUCAGAAGCCUGGUUUCCUCCGAGAGGAGCCCUACGCUGAGGUUGGGUUUUAGAUGUUUGGGGAAGUAGAAGAAGGACAGGAAGUAUGGGAUGGACUGAGAAAGAAGCAGAAGCCAUGCUGGCUGUGGGGGGCCAGACCAGCGGCCCCCGCCUGCACAGCCAUCCUCCUCCUGUGGGAGGCUCGGAGCCACAUCACUGCGGACUGAUCCGGUGUGGGGGAUUCGCAUCAAUUCAGUCCAGGGGGACUCCGUGUCGGGUCGUGUAGAAGUCAAGUCCUUUAACGCUUCCAUUUGCAGGGUGUUUUCCACCGCUACUGUCACAAAAUCAGGACGCCUUUCCUUGGACUGCUGUAAAAAUCACCCCAAA